CCUGCAACCCGGCUCCGUGAAGCUGGAUUCGCUAGUAAUCGCGCAUCAGCCAUGGCGCGGUGAAUACGUUCCCGGGCCUUGUACACACCGCCCGUCAAGCCAUGGGAGCCGGGGGCGCCUGAAGUGCGGUACCGCGAGGGCCGCCCAAGGGCGAGACCGGUGACUGGGGCUAAGUCGUAACAAGGUAGC
RNAcentral lists this ribosomal RNA (189 nucleotides) under uncultured bacterium. RNAcentral's name for it is "partial 16S ribosomal RNA". It matches the Rfam family "Bacterial small subunit ribosomal RNA", at positions 1304 to 1500 of the family's 1533-position model. The record is from RNAcentral.